This 348-nucleotide long non-coding RNA is filed under the name Oncorhynchus kisutch (coho salmon). RNAcentral describes it as "lncRNA (ENSOKIG00005042422.1)". Lineage: Eukaryota; Metazoa; Chordata; Actinopteri; Salmoniformes; Salmonidae. The record is from RNAcentral.
GCUAAUAUCUUCUUCCUCAGAUUGUCUGGGAUCCAACUCUGCACAGAUGGGUUAACAAAACUGAGCCCAAUGCUGAGAACAAGUGUGUACAACCACCUCCACGAAUGGGGACAUAUGGAUAUCAGGAGAACACUGGCAGUGUCCCCAAAGGACAGGUCUAUGGGGCAGCAGAUACCCUACAAUGCAUUACAAUGAUGAGACCAACUCAAAGCCUUGGGCCUGGACUGCUUCCUAGACAGCUCUCUGGCUUGCUCCCUCCUUCACACUUUGACCUCAUGGCACCAAUGGUUGUACCACCUGACACUCUACCCUACUGAGGUAUGUCUUUGGAAAAUCCUUCCAAAUUGU